RNAcentral lists this ribosomal RNA (497 nucleotides) under uncultured bacterium. RNAcentral's name for it is "partial 16S ribosomal RNA". It matches the Rfam family "Bacterial small subunit ribosomal RNA", at positions 28 to 507 of the family's 1533-position model. The record is from RNAcentral.
GAUGAACGCUGGCGGCGUGCCUAAUACAUGCAAGUCGAGCGAACAGACGAGGAGCUUGCUCCUCUGACGUUAGCGGCGGACGGGUGAGUAACACGUGGAUAACCUACCUAUAAGACUGGGAUAACUUCGGGAAACCGGAGCUAAUACCGGAUAAUAUAUUGAACCGCAUGGUUCAAAAGUGAAAGACGGUUUUGCUGUCACUUAUAGAUGGAUCCGCGCCGCAUUAGCUAGUUGGUAAGGUAACGGCUUACCAAGGCAACGAUGCGUAGCCGACCUGAGAGGGUGAUCGGCCACACUGGAACUGAGACACGGUCCAGACUCCUACGGGAGGCAGCAGUAGGGAAUCUUCCGCAAAGGGCGAAAGCCUGACGGAGCAACGCCGCGUGAGUGAUGAAGGUCUUCGGAUCGUAAAACUCUGUUAUUAGGGAAGAACAAAUGUGUAAGUAACUAUGCACGUCUUGACGGUACCUAAUCAGAAAGCCACGGCUAACUACGUG